RNAcentral lists this ribosomal RNA (453 nucleotides) under uncultured bacterium. RNAcentral's name for it is "bacterial SSU rRNA". It matches the Rfam family "Bacterial small subunit ribosomal RNA", at positions 29 to 524 of the family's 1533-position model. The record is from RNAcentral.
AGCGAACGCUGGCGGCAGGCUUAACACAUGCAAGUCGAGCGGGCGUAGCAAUACGUCAGCGGCAGACGGGUGAGUAACACGUGGGAACGUACCUUUUGGUUCGGAACAACACAGGGAAACUUGUGCUAAUACCGGAUAAGCCCUUACGGGGAAAGAUUUAUCGCCGAAAGAUCGGCCCGCGUCUGAUUAGCUUGUUGGUGAGGUAACGGCUCACCAAGGCGACGAUCAGUAGCGGUCUGAGAGGAUGAUCAGCCACACUGGGACUGAGACACGGCCCAGACUCCUACGGGAGGCAGCAGUGGGGAAUAUUGGACAAUGGGGGCAACCCUGAUCCAGCCAUGCCGCGUGAGUGAUGAAGGCCCUAGGGUUGUAAGGCUCUUUUGUGCGGGGAAGAUAAUGACGGUACCGCAAGAAUAAGCCUCGGCUAACUUCGUGCCAGCAGCCCGCAGUAAC